UUCUUGGUAGCUCAAUCGGAAGAGCAACUGGCUGUUAACCAGUUGGUUAUAGGUUCGAGUCCUGUUCAAGAAG
RNAcentral lists this transfer RNA (73 nucleotides) under Sheathia arcuata. RNAcentral's name for it is "tRNA-Asn". It matches the Rfam family "tRNA". Rfam says of the family: Transfer RNA (tRNA) molecules are approximately 80 nucleotides in length. Their secondary structure includes four short double-helical elements and three loops (D, anti-codon, and T loops). Lineage: Eukaryota; Rhodophyta; Florideophyceae; Batrachospermales; Batrachospermaceae. The record is from RNAcentral.